UACAAUAUGCCUAGCUCUUGGAUUCAUUUUUCUAGAACCAAGGAGUAGAGGUGGGGCACCCAAAACCCUAUUCCAGCUGGGGCUCCAAAUUCCUGUCUGUAGGAUGGCCUCUGCCCGAGGUCACAAAUGAGGAACACCAUGAGGUUCAGGACUGUCUUCGGCACACUGGCUACGGGGACCAGGGGGCUACUCUGUGCUCUGUCCAUCUUCAUUGUUUAACCAGAAAGGAUGUGCCCAAGCCUACAGGAGGGGCUGACAGCUCCUACAGGUUAGAAAGAGAUGGGGUCCAUAAGGGUCCCAAGUCCAGUGACUGAAACAACCCCAUGGCCCCAGAGACAAAAUUACAGUUCAAGUCACCAUGUUCACAACUCUAACUUCAACACAAGACUCCCUCAAUUGCCUCACUGUAAAACAGGUAAAUAGGUGUAGUUGGAGAUUCAGUGGCCAAGCCUGGGUCCCAGGUAAGGUGACUAACCAUCCCAGUUUGCCUGACCAGAGAAGUUUCCCAGAUACAGGACUUUGGGUUUUAAAGCCAGGAAAGUCCCAGGUAAGCAAGGCUGAGUUGAUCCCCCUGGGAGGGAACUGAUUUAUUCAAUUCUGGAUAAUUGAAUAAACUCCACAUCCUCACCAGGAAUAUUCUACUAAGUGAUAAUUAGUUACUCCUAAAUUUGCCCGUUUCUCUUCCAAGACCUGGGUCCAUUGGAUGACGACCUUAUCAACCCUCCUCACGCCCAGGCCCUGGCUCUCAGCCCUGCAUUGACCUGUACCCCUUCUUCCUCAGGCAAGUCAGAAAGGAGACCCAGGAAUGACAACCCAUGUCUUUGGCUACACUGGUGAGGGCAUUGGCCUGCUCCCUAUCACAUUUUUAUUCAAGGUAUUGUAUUUGCAGACAAAAAUGAAGUCCCACAAAUGUGGGACUCCACCUGAUUCUCAAAAAGAGAAUAAAUCACAAGUACAUUUUAAAAGUUACAUUUAAGAUUAGCAAACUGGAAUCAAAUGAUUGAUACUUUAUCCAGAAAGCAACACACAUUCUUUUUUCAUUUGUGCUUCUUUGUUAAAGCAUCUUGCCUCCCAGAGUUAUAACUCGUUCAUCAGGAGCAAACACUGAAGCGCACUAGAUAAUACCUUUCAAGUGCGGUGGGUAUGGUUCAGCAGGAAUCUAAUUAUGGCAGAAAAACAGCAGCUAUGACCACCAAACCGACAGAAAUUGUGUGAAAGGCAAUUUCUUAAUUUCAGUCUUAAACUGUGCCUGGGACAAUGUAUGUGAAAGUCUGAUGUCCGUGUGGAUUCAAAUCCUGAUUCACUCAGGCAUGGUACUUAACCUUCUAAGUCUCAGUUUUCUCAUCUGUAAAAUGGCAUUCUUAUCUCACACAGGCAGUUAGCCAAGGCCUGGUUUGCAGAAAGUGCUCAGCUGCUGUGACUCUUCAACCUUCCUGUGAGAUGCCUUCUUUAACCCCACAGAUGUGUCCCACGUGAUGGCCAAGGCAGGUUCAUCAAUCAUGGCUUCUCAAGGGAGCUGGAACAGAAGAGGAGGAGAUGGGGGGUCCCAGGAAGGGCUGUGAUCUGCCUGGGGUCCCACAAUGAGAAACUGGAAUGAGCUCUCCAGCCUCUUUCCACUACAACUGGCUGGCAGUCUCCCAUAAGACAAGAAAAUACAGUCAAAAAGGAAAUUAGAGGGAUUUUUGUUUUCAUCCCUGUUCUUUUAUUGAUUUCAUCUGUUCUUGGGUAUUUUAUUUGUUUGCUUGUUUGUUUUGAUUUGGGUACUUUUUUUUAAAUGAAGCUUCCAUCAGGUAGGAGUAGGAUGUAGAAAUCUGAGUUGAUGGCUCCAUGGUAUAAGAUCAUAUCCUUCAUUUGAUGAGUAACAACAUAAUUUCUGCUUUGAGUCCCAUUUUCUUGCAAUGGAAGAUUAAUCUCAGGGUAUCAAAAUCAUUGCAUCUGAGCUUGGGCCUGCCCACAUCACGGGAAGAGGAGAAGGAUAGACAGAUGAUAUCUCAUGGAGGGUACCUGCGAGGAUCCCUCAUCCCUGGCCUUCAGUUUCCUCAUCUGCCCUUGACCACAGGAGCCCUGGGAGGAAGCUCCCUCAGUGGCUCCUGCGCUGUUGCAGGCCCUCUACACAUAUCUGCUUCCUCAUGGGAAGAGCAAGGCAGCCUCUGGUGAAAAGCAGCCCAAGGGUCUAAGAACCACACUGCCCUGCAUCAGGGCCCCCAGAGGGAGAAAACAAAGGUCAUGCUUUUGAACCUGGAUGCCAGAAGAGAACAGCUGUGGGGAAAAGCACGUCUGGAACCAAGAAAAACAUGUUUACCAGGGGCCAUUCCUCAUACCAGCUGCAGACAGGCUCAGGAAAGCCACAGGCUGCACUGUAGUUGUGACCUUGCAUGUGGAUGUAAGGCUCAGAAGGCUCCUCAAAGAACCUAACAUGUUCCCAGAGACAGGCUGAGUCCGUUCUAACGUCUACCCACUCUGGCCACAUCACUGCACCUGACUUCCCUGUAUCAUAAGUUAGAGAAAUAGUAUAGAGUCUGGGUGAUGCUGGGUAGAUGGGAGGGAAUGGGAUAGGAAGGGGAGAGACAGAGAGCAAGAGAGAAGGCUGUUUGGGAUUUUGUCCAUAACAUAUGCAUAUAUAUUUGUAAAGUCCAUUAUUUAAAAUCCCUUUCAUGGUUUCAGUUUCCUGUGGACCACUUUUCAUGCCAAUUUAAGUUCCUUGAAGGUAAGGAGAUAUGUGUGUAUCUGCCAGCUUCACUGUGCCUUAACUCUUAGGCAAUCAAUAAAUAUUAGUAAAUAAAUCAAAGGAUACCUGAUAUUCUAAUAAUGUCUUACUAUUUUUAGGUGAUUUGGACAAAGCACAUGCACUGUAUAUGCAUCUGAGAACCACAUUUCUAGUUUAAAAAAAUUAUUUGUAGGCCAGACACAGUGGCUUAUGCCUGUAAUUCCAGCACUUUGGGAAGCCAAGGCAGGCGGAUCACUUGAGGCCAGGAAUUUGAGACCAGCCUGACCAACAUAGCAAAACCCCGUCUCUACUAAAAAUACAAAAAGUAGCUAGUCAUGGUGGUGCAUGCCUGUAAUCCCAGCUACUCAAGAGGCUGAGGCAUGAGAAUCACUUGAACUAUAUAUUUUUUAAUUGCUGAGUGAUAUUCCAUUUUAUGAAGCUCGGUUUGCUUAUACAUUCUCCUGUUGAUGAACAUCUGGUAUUUCCCAUUUUCCUCUCCAAGGAUUAGACAUUCCUCCAUAGUCUUCUUGUAAACAUGUUUUCAUUUCUCUUGGGAAAAUGCCUAGGAGUGGAACUGCUGCGUCAAGGGGGUAGGUGUUUGUAUAGUUUUAUAAGAAGUUGCCACAUCCUUACUAAUAUUUGGUGAUAGUUAUUCUUUAAUUUUAAGUUAAAUGUGUAGUGGUGUCUUAUUGUGGUUUUAAUUUUUAUCUCCCUCAUGAGUAAUGAUAAGUGUCUCUUUAUAUCCCUAAUGGCUAUUUAUGUAUCUUUCUGUGAACUGUCUAUUCAAAGUGUUUCAUUCAUUUCUGAUUGAUUGUUUAUCUUUUUAUUAUUGAGUUAAAAGAGAUCUUUAUAAACCCGGGAUUUUAAUCCUUUUUCAGAUGUUUUGCAAAUAUUUUCUCCUAACUUAUGGCUUGCCUAUUUAUUUUCUUAAUGGUUAUCACUUAUCAGCAGAAGCAUUUCAUUUUGGCAGAGACAAAUUUGUUCAUUUUCCUUCACGUUUAUUAUUUUCUGUGGCCUGCUUGUCUAUCAAACAUUUGCCUAUCUCCAGGUUAUGAAUAUAUUCUCCUGUAUUUCCUCUAAAAGUUCUAUGGUUUUAUAUUUAGCUCUGCAAUAAUGUCAAAUUAAUUUCUGUAUAUGAUGUGAGACAUAAGUUAAGGUUUUGUUUGUGUGUGUGUUUCCAUCUGAACAUUCAGUUAAUACAGCAUCAUUUUUUGAAAAGACUUUUCUUCCCCCAUGGAUUGCUUUGGCACCUUUGCCAAACAAAUGGCCACGUAAGCAUGGGCCUGUUUCCAGCACUCUUCUCAGAUCCAUUGAUCUAUUUGUCAAUGCCUAUGCUAGUAUCAGACUGUCUUGAUUAUCAAAUCAACAAUGUUGGUAUUAUAAUGUUUUAAAAGUCACAUAGUUUGAAAACUGCAAAUUUAUUUUCCUUUUCCAGGAUUGUUACAGAUACACUAGAUUCUCUGUAUGUCUAUAUAAAUUUUAGAAUCAGUCUGUAAAUUUUGACAACAGAUUCCUGCUAGCAUUAUUGCUGGAAUUGCAAUAACUCUACAGAUCAAUUUGCAGAGAACUGACGUCUCAACAGCAUUUAGUCUUCCAAUCUGCAAAAAUGAUACUCUGUGUGUGUUUUCUUUAAUUUUGAAAAAUUAUUAUACUUUAAGUUCUGAGAUACAUGUGCAGAGCAUGCAGGUUUGUUCCAAAGGAAUACAUGUGCCAUGGUAUUUUGCUUCACCCAUCAACCUAUCAUCUAUAUUAGGUAUUUCUCCUAAUGCCAUCCCUCCUCUAGCCUCCCACCCCCUAAAAGGCCCCAGUGUGUGAUGUUUCCCUCCCUGUAUCCAUGUGUUCUCAUUGUUCAACUCCCACUAUGAUUAAGGACAUGUAGUGUUUGGUUGUCUGUUCCUGUGUUAGUUUAGUAAGAAUGAUGGUUUCCAGCUUCAUGCAUGUCCCUGCAGGACAUGAACUUAUCCUUUUUUAUGGCUGCAUAUUAUUCCAUGAUGUAUAUGUGCCACAUUUUUUUAAAUCCAGUCUAUCAUUGAUGGGUAUUUGAGUUGGUCCCAAGUCUUUGCUAUUGUGAACAGUGCUUCAAUAAACAUAUGUGUGCAUGUGUCUUUAGAAUGAUUUAUAAUCCUUUGAGUAUAUACUCAGUAAUGGGAUUGCCGGGUCAAAUGGUAUUUCUGGUUCUAGAUCCUUGAGGAUGUCACACUGUCUUCCACAAUGGUGGAACUAAUUUCCACUCCUACCAAGAGUGUAGAAGCAUUCCUAUUUCUCCACAUCCUCUUCAGCAUCUGUUGUUUCUUGACUUUUUUUUUUUUGAGAUGGAGUCUCACUCUGUCACUCAGGCUGGAGUGCUGUGGCACGAUCUUGACUCACUCUGCCUCCGGGGCUCAAACAAUUCUCCUGCCUCAGCCUCCCGAGUAGCUGGGAUUACAGGUGUGCACCACCAUACCAGGCUAAUUUUUGUAUCUUUAGUAUAGACAGGGUUUCACCAUGUUGGUCAGGCUGGUAUAGAACUCCUGACUUCAUGAUCCACCCGCCUCAACCUCCCAAAGUGCUGGGAUUACAAGCAUGUGCCACUGCACCAGCCAUUUUCUGACUUUUUAAUGAUAGCCAUUCUAACUGGCGUGAGAUGGUAUCUCAUUGUAGUUUUGAUUUGCAUUUCUCUAAUGACCAGCAAUGAUGAACUUUUUUUCAUAUGUUUGUUGCCACAUAAAUGUCUGCUAUUGAGAAGUGUCUUCAUAUCCUUUGCCCACUUUUUGAUGGUUUUUGUUUGUUUUUUUCUUAUAAAUUUGUUUAGUUUCUCUCUAGAGUCUAGAUAUUAGUCCUUUGUCAGAUGGACAGAUUGCAAAAAUUUUCUCCCAUUCUGUAGGUUGCCUGUUCACUUCGAUGAUAGUUUAUUUUGCUGUGCAGAAGCUCCAAAUAGAUUCCAUUUGUCAAUUCUGGCUUUUGUUGCCAUUCCGUUUGAUAUUUUAGUCAUGAAGUCUUUGCUCAUGUGUAUGUCCUGAAUGGUAAGACAUAAAUUUUUCUUUAAACAAUCACAUAUAUUUUAAAUAAAUUAAGAGAAAAGGUACCAGUGUUUUACAUUUAUCUAGAAAUUCACUAUUUCCUAUAAUAUCAUUUCCCUUCAGGAAAUACUAAAGGAAUUCCUUUAGUAUUUCUUACCGUAAAGGUCUCCUGGUGAUAAACUCUCUUAGCCUUCGGAAAUGUCUUUAUUUUGCCUUCAUUCUUGAGGGAUAAUUUUGCUAUAUAGAGAAUUCUGGAUUGACUUUUUUUUUGGCAUAUUAAAGAUGUCGUUUCACUAUCUUUUGGCCUCCAUUGUUUAUCAGAAAUCAGCAAAUAUUGCUCCUUUGUUUCACGUGAUGUGCCAUUCUUAUUUAGCUAAUUUCGAUUUUCCCCUUAUUUAUUAAUUCAUCAGUAUAACUAUGAUGUCCCUAGGUAUUAUUCUGCUUGGCGUACGAUGAGCUUCCUGAAUCAAAAGUUUUAUACUUUUCACAUAUUUGGGAAUUUAUUUCUGCUCCAUUUACUCUCUUCCCUCCUAGAAGUGAGAGUACUAAUUACUAGAGUAACUAGAACUCCAAUUACUCCUACAUUAGAUAUUUUGAUACUUUUGAACCAGUCCUUGAGACUGUUCAAUUUUUUUUCUGUGCCAUUUUUUUCUCUCUUUUCUUUAGAUUGGAUCGUUUUCAUUUGAUCCCUUUUCAAAUUCAUGGACUUUUCCCUAUGUUGUCGCUAUUCUGCUAGAGGAUCAAUUUUUAUUUCAAGAUUUUACUCUUUAGUCUAGAAUAUUUAUUUGGUUCCUUUUUAUUUUUUCUUUUUGAGAUGGAGUCUUGCUGUGUCACCAAGCUGGGGUGCAGUGGCAUGAUCUUGGUUCACUGCAAUCUCCGCCUCCCAGGUUCAAGCAAUUCUCCUGCCUCAGCCUCUUGAGUAGCUGGGACUACCAUUGAAUUUGGUUGCUUUUUAGUUUGUAUUUUCCUGAUGAAAUUUUACAACUUUUUAUUCAUUAGGAGCAUCUUUUCCUUUACAUGACUGAGCAUGGAUAAAAUUCUUCCCUAAUUCCAACAUCUGGGUCAUUUGCUAUUCUCCUUUUGUAAGUGUUGACUCUCCUCCAGAAUCUGCCUCUUUAUUUGCCUCCAAGUAUUUGUCCUAUGUGCAAGUGUGUGUGGGUGUGUGGGUUUUCAAACUCUUAAAUGUCUCAGCAAAGGGUGGCUUAUCUGAUGGUGAGAUCCUGAAAAAGAGAGAAUAAACAUUUUCAUCCUGCUGUUUUUAACCCAUGAAAGUGCAGGAAGAGGUUGACUGCAUUCUCUAUAGUAGGUCAAGCUGGCUCUGUGGCACAAUAGAUAGUGCAUUGUCUACAGGAGGCCUUGUGUACAUACAUGUGCACUCACAUAUGGGACGGAGCCUACAAUCUUUGCUGACAACAGCAUGCAGUGUGCAAAUCUCUGUAGCUCAGACCCAGAACCUGAAAAAUUUAGACCUAACAUUACUUUGGCCCAGUAAGAAUGUUAGCUGGAAAUUAGUUUAUAGGCCAGGAGCUAUUUUUUAAAGAUCUGUAGGCUUGCUAGCCAUGACAAUGGUGAUAAUAAUGAUGAUGACAAUGACAUCAUCAUCACCAAUAGCUGCUCCCAUCAAUUGAUCUCAUAACAUGUGAUCAUAUGUUAUCUCUGUCCUCACAACAAUCCAUUUCACAGUUGAUGAAACAGACUCAGUGAGCACAUGACCACUUCUCACAACUAAUGGAGCCAGGAUUCUGUCCUUAUGGCCCAAGCGAUAUUUUUUUUUUUCCCCCACUGUACCACAACACUCACCAGGACUGGGGUGCCACCUAUUACCUCAUUGAUAGUGGAAGCGUUGUCCUCAAAUGGGCCUGGGGAUAUGUACAUACAUACUUAUGUUUACAGGGGAGAGGGCAACUUGUUCCACCUUCCUCCACCCUAACUUCAGAUCUCAGCUGUGGAGUGGAAACUCCAUACUCAUGCCAUAGCUAUAGCAUUGGAGGGAAAGGGGAGAAAAUAACUAAAGAGUAAGGAAUUGGGUGAAGCUUUGAGGUUUGGAUGUGACAGGUAGUUUGCACAUAGUUGGAAUGCAGUAACAUUGGCUCACAAGGUUUGUCAGAAACCCUGAUUAUUUUGGAAGUUUCCAAAGUUUGGUCCCCUCCAGAUAUGAUGAAAACAGGAAAUUCAGUAAACAUGGCCACUGAAAGCCUAGCUCGUUUCUUGGAAAAAAAGUUUCUGGAGAGUUCUCAGAGCACAUAAAUAGCAGGGCUGUAAAGACAAAGGUAACCGUUCAAGGAAUGGAGAAGUUCUCAAAAAUUACAGCCAGGCCAGAGCUGUGGUUCAGAAAGGGGGUUUUAUGUUGUUUCUGUUGUUUCAGUUUUGGCCUCAGAAAGGAUGUGCAGCCCUGCUGUAAACAGCCUCUCAGCACUUGGCAGGGAUGUGCCCACAAGGCUGGUGUAGAUAUCCAGGGCCCAGCUUAGACAGGAAGGCCCAGGGACCCACAGGGAGCCCUGGUUUGAGAGAGAAGUUUUUCUUUUCAGAAGAGAGCACCUGGGAGAUAUUUCCAGAGAGCUCGUUGUGACCUGUCAUUAGCUCUUCCCCCAUGUUUUCUGCAGCUGGAGUUACCAUGCACCUUUGGUGGACCAGGAACCCAAGAUUUGAGGUGGACAUUAAUCCCAGCUGGACACUCUCAAUGCUGAGGAUGUAGACAGACAAACCAAUGCGGGGAGCCCUAGUACUACCAGGAGCCAUUGGUGGAGAAAUCUUCAGAUCCUGCCAGGCCCAUAGCUGUUGCCUUUGUGGGCUCCUGGGUUCUGCACAUCAGUGGUGCACCCUAGGAUACCCUCACUGCAUUGCACACUCCCGGCCAUGCUCCAUGGGCAGCCAUUAUUUCCAGUAACUGCCAAUGGGAGCCAGUCUCCAAAGAGUAAGGAAUCAGAGGUGUUGCUUGGAGUGUGUUAAACUAGGACUUUGCUGAUCCCACAGGCUCCUUUCCAGAUGAGCUGACCCUAAUCUCUGGGAAGCUGGAUCUGUAGGAAAAAUGGGAUGGGAUUUGAGGUGACCCUUCCUGCCCUUCUUGAGCAGCUUGUGAACCAGAAGACGUGCCUGGAGGGAAAGCCUCAUUUGGGGAAGUGCAGUACAUGAAGUUUUUUAUUUUGAAAAUGGAGAACAAUCCUCCUCACAGUUCUGUCUCCCCUUCCCCUUUUCCAACUAGAAUACCAGCUCCUCUGCACAUCAGUCAGUCACAUUUCAGGGAAAACUGGCUGAUAAUGAAGAAAUCAAUAGAGAGGAAGCCUUGUCCUUUCAGCUGUGGGCCUCUAACUGCAGAGCCAGAAGAUACCCCAGCGUGGGGACUGGGCCUUCCUUGCCCACUGAAUGCUUUCUAUACAUGAAGACUUGGAGCUCUUUACAGAUGACAGUAGCCAGUGAGGAAGGUAAAAGAAGAGGAAAGACCCAAAUAUGGGUUUGCCACUCUUUGUUGCCAACACCGUGGGGACAGUCACUCUGCUUUCCUUUGACCACCUUCAACCUCACACACCCACACCCACACUCUGAUCUCACAGAGCCUGGGUGCCCACCUGCCAGCCCUCCUUGAAACCAGAUGGCCAUGAACUUGUCACCAAGUCAUCUGAAGAUCUUCCAUUGCAACGUGUCUGGCAUCUGCCACAGAGACCAAGGGACACGAUUGAAUAACCACUCCAGUGCAAUUGAUGAAGGGGUGGGUCUGCACUGAAGUUAGAUGCACCAGGGCCUGGGCCAAGGGUGGGCUGGGUCCACCUUAUGUGUGAUGCUCUUCUUCAGAGUAGCAGCUGAUUCAGGGGGAUUCCAGAGAACUUCACAACCUCGGUCUAGUUAGAUAUCUUGGACAUUUUCUAUUUCUAGAUUAGAAAAUAUAGCAUAUGCUGAUUUUAAUAUAACUGUGUAUAUGACUUUUUUUUGAGACAGAGUCUCACUCUGUCACCCAGGCUGAAGUGCAGUGGCACAAUCUUGGUUCACUACAAACUCUGCCUCCUGCAUUCAAGCAAUUCUCCUGUCUCAGCCUCCCAAGUAGCUGAGAUUACAGGCUCGUGCCACCACACCCAGUUAAUUUUUUGUAUUUUUUAAGUAGAAACUGUGUUUCACCAUGUUAGCCAGGAUGGUCUUGAUCUCCUGACCUCAUGAUCUGCCCACCUUGGCCUCCCAAAAUGCUGGGAUUACAAGCAUGAGCCACCAUGCCCAGCCAUGUGACUUUUUCAGUAAGAAAAAUUUUAAGUGAUAUUCUAAACAACUUUUGUCAUGUAGAGAGAAUAGUCAAAUAUCUAUUUUACUAGCAAUAUAGUUACUCAUGCAUAUUUAAAAUACUACAUGAGUAUGGCCUAGUGCAGUUGCUCAUGCUUGUAAUUUGAGCACUUUGGGAGGCCGAGGUAGGCAGAUUGCCUAAAUUCAGUUUGAGACUACUUUGGACAACAUGGUGAAACCCUUACUCUACACCAGAAUACAAAAAAUUAGCCAGGUGUGGUGGCAGGCACCGAUAGUCCCAGCUACUUGGGAAGCUGAGGUGUAACCCAGGAGGCAGAGGUUGCAGUAAGCUGAGAUUCCACUUCUGCACUCCAGCCUGGGUGACAGAGCAAGACUAUGUCUCAAAAAAUAAAAUAAAACAGGCCCUAUGCAGUGGCUUAUGCCUGUAAUCUCAGCACUUUGGGCAGCCGAGGCAGGCAGACCACCUGAGGUUAGGAGUUUGAGACCAGUCUGACUGACAUGGUGAAAUGCCGUCUCUACUAAAUACAACAAAAUUAGCUGAACGUGGUGAUGUAUGUCUGUAAUCCCAGCUACUUGGGAGGCUGAGGCAGGAGAAUGACUUGAACCCAGGAGGCAGAGGUUGCAGUGAGCUGAAAUUGCACCAUUGCACUUCAGCCUGGGUGACAGAGAGACACUUCAUCUCAAAACAUAAAAUAUAAAAUAAAAUACUACACGAGUUUGGAAACAUUGCUUUUUCCCACAUUACUCACCUCCUUUAUAGCACCAGCAUGUUUGUCGACACCAGAUCUCUUUUUUAUUAUUUUUUUUGUUGACGAAUCCAUCACCUUUGCUUCAGUUAAAUCAUGUAGGAUGCAGUAACUCUGAGUCUGAGGGGUGCUUCCCAGGAAAAGCAACCCCCCACAGCCAUUUGCAGAGCAUUGGAAUAAGUUUUACCUUCAUCCUUCAGGUGUGCAUUUGUUAUCCUCUCUGUGACAGUCCCUUAUCACAUGGCUUUUAGGAUUCUGAAAAAGCUAGACUCCCACAUUUAACCUUGCAGUCACCUGGCUGGGUGUUAUGUUUCUUUGCCUCCUGUUGGAGACCCUAUCAGCAUCUCAAACUAGCCUUAUUUGAGAACGUUGGAGCCAAUGGUUCUUUCCCAGAUAGGACUUUGUGUGUCCAAAUAAAUGGUUCAAAAUCAUCAAGCAAAUAAAUACCCUGGAAUAAGAGAAGCCUAGUGAGGAUUUGACUCUAAAUUGACUUCCUCUGUUCUGCAGUAAGAGGUUAGGAAUAAAACCAAACCUUGCCUGAGGUUCAGGUAUACUCAAAAACAAUGAGAUGUGGCUCAGGUGUGCACUGGCCAGAUUACUGUGAGGUCCAGUCAGAGCCUUUGCAAGCCUAGACCUGAGAAGCCAGACCUCUUAGACCCAGAAGGGCCAGUGGAGCUGGGCUGGCCUGCUGCUAUUCACAGGCAGAGACUCUGCCAGCAGAAGGGACUCUGCUGUCAGAGCUAGAGAGCAGCGGACCACAUGACUGAGGCCCAAGCCCAGGUCUCCUGACUCAAAACCUCUUCCCAGGGCUCGUCCUCCUUCCUAAAUAUAUGUGCUUCAAAUCGUCACCAGAUCUCGGGAAAGCACUGGCUUUGUCUGGGAUAAACACCAACUCCACAGCACACCCGGUCAUUACUAGAUUGGCAGUUGUUGUCUAGGUCUUGUGGCUUCUUGAGGUUUUCUCGGGUGUCUCUCUCCCAAAUCUUUCCCCUUUCCUUUGAUUAUACUCACAUAAACAUUCAGCUUUUAGCCCUCAAGCUCUUUCAGGCAUAGUUCACUUUGUCCCUCUCUCUUUCCCUAUGCUAUCACCCCUCCAUCUGCUGUCAGAGGCCCAUCCAGCUGCUCCAGCCCUGUGGCUCCAGUGUCUCCUCCUCUGUCUUUCCCUUGCUUCUUUUCUGGGAAGAUCUAUCUGAGGGUCCUGAAAGAGACCCGAGGUUCUUCUUUUGGACAAAGAGGUCUGGGUGGAUGACAUAAUUCACUUUACGUCUUAGAAAAAUAACCUUGUGGCUCUUGGCUCUCUUGGGCUCUCAUUUUAGUUGCCUAAGGGCUCCAGGCAGAAGGCCAAGGAGCCCAGCCCCAGCCUAGAGACUUGCAGGGCUCAGAGAGAUAUACAGUGACAGGCUGUCUGCUGUGUCUGCCACACCCCUUGUGAGGGAUCCUACUUGCAGAACCUGACAGCUGAGAGGGUGGCCCUGAGACUCCUGUUCAUGCCUCCCAAGGCUUGCAAUUGUUUGAUUAUAUGCUACUGCCUACCCAUUUCCACUUUCUCUCCUGCUGUGUUUUGACUGAUAACUUUGACUCAACCUCCUGAUGCCAUAAACUGUUACCGACUGUUCUGGCAGCAGGAAAAGGCCAGUUCCAGGGAAGGCUGAAUGUGUAUUGUUCUGGAUCAUUUUGAGAAAAAAAAGAGACACCUUGAAGAAAGACGAAGACAAAAUACAGAAGAGUGCUGAAUUUACAAAAGCCUAAGGGGAAAAACCUCAAACGUCCAUCAGGAGUGGAAUGAAUAAACAAAUCAUGGUGCGUUCACACAAUGGAAUACUACCGUCUAGUAAAAAGGAAUGAACGGCAGAUGCACACAGAAACAUGGGUGAAUCCACCAGGCACCAUGUUGUGCAAAAGAAAGCAGACUUGAAACAACGCAUUCCAUUUAUAUGAAGUUUCAGAACAGCAGAAAUAAUCCAUGUGGAUAGGGUGAGAGUAGUGGUUAUCGAAGAGCAAGGGAGAAUGUGGAUUGACGGGGGAGGGACACAGCUCUUCUGGCAGUGGCCUGUACCUCAUUCACGGGGGUAGUUACACCUACGUAUGUGUACAAAAAUUCCCCCAGCUCUGAAGAGUUAUGUACUUUACUGUAUGUAUGUGAUGUAGUUUGGAUACUGCCCCCUCCAAGUCUCAUUCUGAGAUGUGACCCCAAUGUUAGAGGUGGGGCCUAGUGGGAGGUGUUUGCCUCAUGGAGGCGGAUAGCUCAGUGAUGACUUGGUGCCUUCUCCACAGUAAUGAGUGAGUUCUCACUCUAUUCGUUCAGGCUAGAGCUGGUUGUUUAAGAGAGUCACACUCCUCCCACCACUCUUCUUCCUCCUCCUCCUCUCUCACCUUGUGAUGUGCCUGCUCUCCCUUUGCCUUCUGCCAUAAGUGGAAGCUUCUUGAGGCUUUACCAGAUGCAGAUGCUGGUGCCAUGCUUUCUGUACAGCCUGCAGAACCAUGGGCUAAACAUACAUCUUUCCUUUAUAAAUUGCCUACUCUCAGGUAUUCCUUUGUAGCAAAACAAAACAGACUGAUAUGGCAUGCUAUACCUCAAUAAAAACCUUAUAAAAAUUGAUAAAGGUGAUGAGGAGUCAGUGGGAAAGGAUCCAAGGCUCAGAAAGAGAAUGAGGCAUAUGAGAAGCUGAGGGAAGCAGGGGAGAGCAUUUCAAUAACAGGGAGACACAGUGGAUCAACGUAGAGAGACUCUUGGAUUGGAUAACCAAGAGAUUCUGUCAUGACAGAAAAAUUUCAACAGGAUAGAUUCAACUUGAAGAAAGAGCAAGGUUAGGGAGAUUCUGGAGGCUGAUCAAGUCUUGGAACUGGCUGAGGAUGUCUGUAAGUGGAAAAAAAGAAGCCACUGGAGUGGAGGGUGGGGAGGAUAAAGCUUGGAGCAAGAUUCUCAGAGAAGCAACAGGAUCCUAAGGCAAAUAACCCCGAGCUUAGUUGGGAAAAGGAGGAUCAUUAGGAGACUAGGAAGAAAGAAAAGGUGGUGGUGAGGUGCUAGCCACUUUGUAUGGAGUGUUUCUGACGGUGCUAACAGCACAGGGUGAGCACAUUGCUCUGGGGGGACGGACGUGAGACCUUGAAUAGAGAAGUUGCUGUUGGGAAUGUGAAAUUUUUUCAACAAGAGGUUGAUGCUGAAAGUGAUAGAAGCCUGGAACUAUAACUGGCUACACACCCAGGGAAUCCCAUUUUAACCAGUUACUAGCCAUGUUUGGGAACCCAAGAAUCAAUGCAGAGAAGGUGAGUGUGUACAGGUGUUCCUCCAGGCUGGGGAUUAACAUUGCAGACCUGACCAAAAGUUGACAAUGCUAGGAAAGUAAACAUGUCUCUCAGAAGGAUCCAUAAUAACAGAAAAUGAUGGCUUAAUAUUUGUAACAUUAAAGUCCCAAGAGGAGAGGAGAAUGAGUGAGGGGCUGAGAAAUAUUUGAAAAAAUUAUGGCUACAAAUAUUUCUAAAUUUGGCAAAAGACAUAAACUUGUAGAUUUGAGAAGCUCGGAGAAUCCCAAACAGAAUAAGCUCAAAGAGAUUUGCACUUAGAGACAUCAUAAGAAAACUACUGAAAACUAGAAACAAAGGAAUUAUCUUGAAAGCAGCAACAACAAAAAGACAUUAUUUAUAAAAUUACAAUUAUUUAAAGGGUUAUAGAUUUCUCAUUAGAAACCAUAGAGGCCUGGCUGGGUGCAAUGGCUCACGCUAUAAUCCCAGC
Molecule: non-coding RNA, 14412 nt
Organism: Callithrix jacchus (white-tufted-ear marmoset)
Lineage: Eukaryota; Metazoa; Chordata; Mammalia; Primates; Cebidae
Source: RefSeq, a predicted model, not a curated record